CCUACGGGAGGCAGCAGUAGGGAAUCUUCCACAAUGGGCGAAAGCCUGAUGGAGCAACGCCGCGUGGGUGAAGAAGGUCUUCGGAUCGUAAAACCCUGUUGUUAGAGAAGAAAGUGCGUGAGAGUAACUGUUCACGCUUCGACGGUAUCUACCCAGAAAGCCACGGCUAACUACGUGCCAGCAGCCGCGGUAAUACGUAGGUGGCAAGCGUUAUCCGGAUUUAUUGGGCGUAAAGGGCACGCAGGCGGUCUUUUAAGUCUGAUGUGAAAGCCUUCGGCUUAACCGGGGUAGUGCAUUGGAAACUGGGAGACUUGAGUGCAGAAGAGGGGAGUGGAACUCCAGGUGUAGCGGUGAAAUGCGUAGAUAUAUGGAAGAACACCAGUGGCGAAAGCGGCUCUCUGGUCUGUAACUGACGCUGAGGUUCGAAAGCGUGGGUAGCAAACAGGAUUAGAUACCCUAGUAGUC
RNAcentral lists this ribosomal RNA (465 nucleotides) under uncultured bacterium. RNAcentral's name for it is "partial 16S ribosomal RNA". It matches the Rfam family "Bacterial small subunit ribosomal RNA", at positions 338 to 795 of the family's 1533-position model. The record is from RNAcentral.